This 301-nucleotide ribosomal RNA is filed under the name uncultured bacterium. Its description in RNAcentral is "partial 16S ribosomal RNA". It matches the Rfam family "Bacterial small subunit ribosomal RNA", at positions 509 to 807 of the family's 1533-position model. The record is from RNAcentral.
CAGUCGCCACGGUAAUACGAAGGUCCCGAGCGUUGUUCGGAAUCACUGGGCGUAAAGGGAGCGUAGGCGGCGUGGUAAGUCAGAUGUGAAAUCCCGGGGCUCAACCCCGGAACUGCAUCCGAUACUGCCAUGCUAGAGGAUUGGAGAGGUAGCUGGAAUUCUUGGUGUAGCAGUGAAAUGCGUGGAGAUCAAGAGGAACACUCGUGGCGAAAGCGAGCUACUGGACAAUAACUGACGCUGAGGUACGAAAGCGUGGGGAGCAAACAGGAUUAGAUACCCCCGUAGUCCCUGUCUCUUAUAC